AACACUAUGAUAACAUUUUAAGUAAAUAUCGCCCACCCCUAGUUCAUGAAGUUUUUUUUUCUCUACUACCUACAGUAAAUGUCCUUAACAUGAAUGUUUUCUAAAUAUUUCAGAGACAAUGUUGUAAUAAAAUCUGAACUUAUAGCAAGGCUUUGAUCUUUAGCAGAAUAUGGAAAGCUUGAAUUGUCACAAAUGCAUCCUUAGAAGUAUAAAUGAAUAUCAGCUUACUUCAAUAAUUCAGGUGUCAACAUUAAUAAUUUUAUACAUGCAUCUGCAUAAAUAAUAAUCCAGUAAACCUUCACACACACCUCACCACCAAUAUGGAUCUCCAAAACAGCUGGACGUGUUAAAUUCCCCCCCUCCACACACACACACACACACACACACACACACCUACACACACAAACACCCAGAUGCACCAAAGCGAUAAAGCUCAUUUGAUUUAUCAUAAUAUGCUUUAUCUGAAAACUAAGUAUCUUAUCUCCAGAUAAAGAGAGGAAAGACAGAGCAAUCCAUUCAGUUGGUGGAGCAGGAAAGAGGCUGAAAGGACGACGGCAGCUCCAGGAAAACGGACGGGUCGGAGAGGAGAACGAACGGGAAGAACCGGAGGGAAAGAAGAAAAGGAUGCGGGGAUGGGAGGAGAUUUGGAAAAAGGAUUCAGGGUGAUGAAGGGAAACGGGACAGGAUAACGAACAGCUGAAGAGUGAGAAAAUGUGACAUUCAUACGUUCUCCUUCAGACUGGUUGAGUUUUCCUAAGAACUCACGAUGCCAUUCCUCAGUCCAGACAGAUCACGCCGACAUAUACAGCAGAUUGAAUCCAGUCCAGGCUCUUCAGUGGUGCAUAUCCAAAUCAUUCCAACUGGUUUUCCAUGAACAUCCGGUUCCUCUGUUAAAACUGUUUUUGAUUUUCACAUGUUUUUCUUUCAUAAAUAUGUGUUUCAUAUUCUGUAAAGGUUGGUAAAGCUACUCAUACCUGAUACAGUUGUUCAACUAAAAACUGUGAUGAUCCAAAGCACAAUAAACUUCUUAUGCGAGAUAUUCUUGUGUAUAGUGUGUGUGUGUGUGUGUGUGUGUGUGUGUGUGUGUGUGUGUGUGUGUGUGUGUGUAGUGACAGGAGCUGCACCGUGAGGUGUGUCAGUUUGGAGGAUGACUGAUUACAGUGGACAGUAAUCCUGCAGAUGGAUUAGCAGGUGGUAUUAGGAGAAGUGGGGGUGUAGCACACUGCCACCUUUGAACUGUAACAAUAUGGAGCAGCAGCUCACAGGGCCUGGCCUCCGACUGCAUCACCCCCAGCCACACAUGCACAGAGCGGGAUGACCCACAGCGACAGAGGCCCCCCGAGACGGGACACGGGUUCUGACGGCGACAGAGGUCUCUACCGUUGGAAGGUGAAGUCUGACGAGUCUGCCUAACGAGUUCCCAUGACUGAGUCUCGCUGAGAUGAGAGUUAAAAGGAAAGAGAGAAAAUGUGUCCAAUGGAGAGAACUGUCCAAACGUCUGACGUUUUUUAUUUAAAUAAACUAAUUUUUCACUUCCUCAUUUGUUUAGAAUUCAGUUCAAUUCUAAAAUACUUUAUUGAUCAGCCUGAGAAAAACAUCUGCUCUUAAAGCAGCCUCAGAGCAUGGAGCUGCCACCCAGAACAGCUGUCAGGAUCCUGAAACAUUGAUCCAGAAGAGAAAUAACUCUACUGUCAGAUUGUAAGCAAGUUUUUUGUUUAACUGGGCUGCUUUUGUUGUAAGGAACCUGGGUAAAGGAUGAAAAACUAACUAAUCUUGUUGUUUGUUGUAUAAUGGCUUUAAACAUUGUCUCUAAUGAAAUCUAUUAUGUUGAGUCAAAGUUCUCCACUCUUUAGCUUUUAUGUUUCUCCUUUACUACAUCAUGAAAAAGAUUUAUUUAUUUUUUUUAGUCAUUAGCAUCUACCUACAUUUUUUCCAGUUUUCAGAUCCCAAAAAAAUAAACACAUAUUUUGUUGACACCUCACCAAAAGUUAAAUGAAACUUACAAUAUGUUUGAGUGAUGAAUCUUAUUAUAAUAUUUCUCCUUUUUCUUCAAAACUUUUGUUGUGUUUGUGUUUAUUUGUAUAUGCUACAUAUAAUUAAAUGAGAUGGCGCUCAUGACAAGGCGCGUAUUAGGUUGACAAGUACAGAAUAAUAAACAAUAUCUCAUGUUGGA
Poecilia latipinna (sailfin molly) is the source of this 2173-nucleotide long non-coding RNA. RefSeq lists it as uncharacterized. NCBI's taxonomy places the organism in Eukaryota, Metazoa, Chordata, Actinopteri, Cyprinodontiformes, Poeciliidae. The transcript is spliced from 2 exons. The record is from RefSeq and is a predicted model, not a curated record.